Coelomomyces lativittatus is the source of this 73-nucleotide non-coding RNA. NCBI's taxonomy places the organism in Eukaryota, Fungi, Blastocladiomycota, Blastocladiomycetes, Blastocladiales, Coelomomycetaceae. The record is from the annotation of a GenBank genome assembly.
GCCCGCGUGGCCAAAUGGACAAGGCGUCGGACUUCUAAUCCGAAGAUUGCGGGUUCGAUCCCCGCCGUGGGUA